GACGAACGCUGGCGGCGUGCUUAACACAUGCAAGUCGAGCGGUAAGGCCCUUUCGGGGUACGACGAGCGGCGAACGGGUAGGAGUAACAACGUGGGUGGACCUCGCCCUCCAGCUCUGGGAGUAAGCCCGGGAAACCGUAGGGUCGUAAUAACCGGACGUAUGACUCCAUGACGCAUGUUGUGGGGUGGGAAAGCCUUGUGCGGCUGAGGAU
This 212-nucleotide ribosomal RNA is filed under the name uncultured bacterium. RNAcentral describes it as "partial 16S ribosomal RNA". It matches the Rfam family "Bacterial small subunit ribosomal RNA", at positions 28 to 226 of the family's 1533-position model. The record is from RNAcentral.